GUAGGUGGCAAGCGUUGUCCGGAAUUAUUGGGCGUAAAGCGCGCGCAGGCGGUUCUUUAAGUCUGAUGUGAAAGCCCACGGCUCAACCGUGGAGGGUCAUUGGAAACUGGAGAACUUGAGUACAGAAGAGGAAAGCGGAAUUCCACGUGUAGCGGUGAAAUGCGUAGAGAUGUGGAGGAACACCAGUGGCGAAGGCGGCUUUCUGGUCUGUAACUGACGCUGAGGCGCGAAAGCGUGGGGAGCAAACAGGAUUAGAUACCCUGGUAGUCCACGCCGUAAACGAUGAGUGCUAAGUGUUAGGGGGUUUCCGCCCCCCUUAGUGCUGCAGCUAACGCAUUAAACACUCCGCCUGGGGAUACGGCCGCAAGGCUG
RNAcentral lists this ribosomal RNA (372 nucleotides) under uncultured organism. Its description in RNAcentral is "partial 16S ribosomal RNA". It matches the Rfam family "Bacterial small subunit ribosomal RNA", at positions 527 to 896 of the family's 1533-position model. The record is from RNAcentral.